Molecule: ribosomal RNA, 678 nt
Filed under: uncultured Bacilli bacterium
Lineage: Bacteria; Bacillati; Bacillota; Bacilli
Description: bacterial SSU rRNA
Rfam family: Bacterial small subunit ribosomal RNA
Source: RNAcentral
CGGUGCUUGCACUGGUCAAUCUAGUGGCGAACGGGUGAGUAACACGUGGGUAACCUGCCCAUCAGAGGGGGAUAACAUCCGGAAACGGAUGCUAAAACCGCAUAGGUCUUCGAGCCGCAUGGCUUGAAGAGGAAAAGAGGCGCAAGCUUCUGCUGAUGGAUGGACCCGCGGUGCAUUAGCUAGUUGGUGAGGUAACGGCUCACCAAGGCAGUGAUGCAUAGCCGACCUGAGAGGGUGAUCGGCCACAUUGGGACUGAGACACGGCCCAAACUCCUACGGGAGGCAGCAGUAGGGAAUCUUCCGCAAUGGACGCAAGUCUGACGGAGCAACGCCGCGUGAGUGAAGAAGGUUUUCGGAUCGUAAAACUCUGUUGUUAGAGAAGAACAAGUGCUAGAGUAACUGUUAGCGCCUUGACGGUAUCUAACCAGAAAGCCACGGCUAACUACGUGCCAGCAGCCGCGGUAAUACGUAGGUGGCAAGCGUUGUCCGGAUUUAUUGGGCGUAAAGCGAGCGCAGGCGGUUCCUUAAGUCUAAUGUGAAAGCCCCCGGCUCAACCGGGGAGGGUCAUUGGAAACUGGGGAACUUGAGUGCAGAAGAGGAGAGUGGAAUUCCAUGUGUAGCGGUGAAAUGCGUAGAUAUAUGGAGGAACACCAGUGGCGAAGGCGACUCUCUGGUCUG